AGACAUAUGGUGCAAGCGUUACUCGGAAUCACUAGGCGUAAAGCGUAUGUAGGCGGAUACUUAAGUCCGUUGUGAAAUCUCCCGGCUUAACUGGGAGAGGUCGACGGAUACUGGGUGUCUAGAGUAAGGUAGGGGUAACUGGAAUUCCUGGUGUAGCGGUGAAAUGCGUAGAUAUCAGGAGGAACACCUGCGGCGAAAGCGGGUUACUGGGCCUUCACUGACGCUGAGAUACGAAAGCUAGGGGAGCAAACAGGAUUAGAAACCCCGGUAGUCC
This 274-nucleotide ribosomal RNA is filed under the name uncultured bacterium. RNAcentral describes it as "partial 16S ribosomal RNA". It matches the Rfam family "Bacterial small subunit ribosomal RNA", at positions 523 to 796 of the family's 1533-position model. The record is from RNAcentral.